GCCUUCAUGGAAUAUAAUCACCACCUCCACCAGAAUCAGCAGCAGAACAGCCACAGCCACUGCCUUCAACAAAAGAUGUAAGGAUACAUAUGUUUGAUAGAAUCUAAACAGGAAUUAUAUAAGCCUUUCAUUACCUCUCCAGUUGUUGACUUGUUGUCUUCGUCUUCCAUCAAGUACCAGCAGUGGUAGAGCCGCUGCCGGUGCCGGUUAUGAGCAUGUUUAAUGUAAUCUUCCUAGGCUUGUGUAUCACCAAUGCCUAGGGGAAGGUCUAGCUUAGCUAUCAGCCUGC
Molecule: long non-coding RNA, 289 nt
Filed under: Sorghum bicolor (sorghum)
Lineage: Eukaryota; Viridiplantae; Streptophyta; Magnoliopsida; Poales; Poaceae
Description: long non-coding RNA (SBIC_LNC007579)
Source: RNAcentral